RNAcentral lists this non-coding RNA (28 nucleotides) under Mus musculus (house mouse). The record is from RNAcentral. Lineage: Eukaryota; Metazoa; Chordata; Mammalia; Rodentia; Muridae.
UGGACAGGAACCUCAAACGUGUCACUGG